GGUGUAGCGGUGAAAUGCGUAGAUAUCGGGAAGAACACCAGUGGCGAAGGCGCUCUGCUGGGCCAUCACUGACGCUCAUGGACGAAAGCCAGGGGAGCGAAAGGGAUUAGAUACCCCUGUAGUCCUGGCCGUAAACGAUGAACACUAGGUGUCGGGGGAAUCGACCCCCUCGGUGUCGUAGCCAACGCGUUAAGUGUUCCGCCUGGGGAGUACGCACGCAAGUGUGAAACUCAAAGGAAUUGACGGGGGCCCGCACAAGCGGUGGAGUAUGUGGUUUAAUUCGAUGCAACGCGAAGAACCUUACCAGGGUUUGACAUCCUGCGAAUCUCUUGGAAACAGGAGAGUGCCUUCGGGAACGCAGUGACAGGUGGUGCAUGGCUGUCGUCAGCUCGUGUCGUGAGAUGUUGGGUUAAGUCCCGCAACGAGCGCAACCCACGUCUUUAGUUGCCAGCAUUUAGUUGGGCACUCUAGAGAGACUGCCGGUGAUAAACCGGAGGAAGGUGUGGAUGACGUCAAGUCAUCAUGCCCCUUACAUCCUGGGCUACACACGUACUACAAUGCUACGGACAAAGGGCUGCAAGUUCGCGAGGACAAGCAAAUCCCAUAAACCGUGGCUCAGUUCAGAUCGUAGGCUGCAACUCGCCUACGUGAAGGCGGAAUCGCUAGUAAUCGCAGGUCAGCAUACUGCGGUGAAUACGUUCCCGGGCCUUGUACACACCGCCCGUCACACCAUGGAAGUUGGCCACGCCCGAAGCCGUUACUCCAACCCUUGUGGAGGAGGACGUCGAAGGUGGGGCUGAUGACUGGGGUGAAGUCGUAACAAGGUAACCGUA
RNAcentral lists this ribosomal RNA (833 nucleotides) under uncultured bacterium. RNAcentral describes it as "bacterial SSU rRNA". It matches the Rfam family "Bacterial small subunit ribosomal RNA", at positions 672 to 1504 of the family's 1533-position model. The record is from RNAcentral.